AUUGAACGCUGGCGGCAUGCUUAACAUAUGCAAGUCGAACGCGAAAGUCCUUCGGGGCGAGUAGAGUGGCGGACGGGUGAGUAACGCGUGGGAAUCUACCCUAGAGCGGGGGACAACCCGGGGAAACCCGGGCUAAUACCGCAUACGUCCUACGGGAGAAAGAGGGCCUCUGCUUGCACGCUCUCACUCCAGGAUGAGCCCACGUCCGAUUAGCUAGUUGGUAGGGUAAAGGCCUACCAAGGCCACGAUCGGUAGCUGGUCUGAGAGGAUGAUCAGCCACACUGGGACUGAGACACGGCCCAGACUCCUACGGGAGGCAGCAGUGGGGAAUAUUGGACAAUGGGCGCAAGCCUGAUCCAGCAAUGCCGCGUGUGUGAAGAAGGCCUGCGGGUUGUAAAGCACUUUCAGUGGGGAAGAACAGAUUCGGGUCAAUACCCCGGAGCCCUGACGUUACCCACAGAAGAAGCACCGGCUAACUCCGUGCCAGCAGCCGCGGUAAAGUGUG
Molecule: ribosomal RNA, 505 nt
Filed under: uncultured bacterium
Lineage: Bacteria
Description: bacterial SSU rRNA
Rfam family: Bacterial small subunit ribosomal RNA
Source: RNAcentral